GACGAACCGUCCGAACGUUAUUCGGAAUCACUGGGCUUACAGAGUUCGUAGGCGGUCCGGCAAGUUGGGUGUGAAAUCCCUUGGCUCAACCAAGGAACUGCGCUUGAUACUGCCGGACUCGAGGGAGAUAGAGGAAAGCGGAACUGAUGGUGGAGCGGUGAAAUGCGUUGAUAUUAUCAGGAACACCGGUGGCGAAGGCGGCUUUCUGGGUCUCUUCUGACGCUGAGGAACGAAAGCUAGGGGAGCGAACGGGAUUAGAUACCCCGGUAGUCCUAGCCGUAAACGAUGAGCACUAGGUCGUGGGCCUCCACAGGCCCUCGGCCGUAGCGAAAGUGUUAAGUGCUCCGCCUGGGGAGUAUGGUCGCAAGGCUGAA
RNAcentral lists this ribosomal RNA (374 nucleotides) under uncultured bacterium. Its description in RNAcentral is "bacterial SSU rRNA". It matches the Rfam family "Bacterial small subunit ribosomal RNA", at positions 524 to 898 of the family's 1533-position model. The record is from RNAcentral.